CUCCUCUUGUGUAGUACUUGAACACUUACUAAAUAUAAACUAAAAAUUAAAUUGCUAGAACACUUACAAUAUUGCUAAAAGAGAGAAAUAGUAGUAACAGGGAAGAAAGAAGAGUAAAUUUGAUGUGGUGAGAAUGGGAGAGGAGGAGGCUAUUUAUAGAAAUUCGUAAAUUUUUUUUUUCCAAAAUACCCCUCAAAAUAGCCAUUUAUGGCUGUUGAGAGAGUUAAAAAGAUAAAAAAAAUAAAAA
RNAcentral lists this long non-coding RNA (247 nucleotides) under Elaeis guineensis (African oil palm). RNAcentral's name for it is "long non-coding RNA (EGUI_LNC017677)". The record is from RNAcentral. Lineage: Eukaryota; Viridiplantae; Streptophyta; Magnoliopsida; Arecales; Arecaceae.